CUCGCAUCCCUCGACAGCCAAUCCGUCCGCUCCCCUCUUCCCCUGCCCUCCUCUGCGCCGCCGCCUCCUCCCCUUCCCUCCUCUGCACCGCCUCCUCCUCCCCUGCUCUCCACUGCACCGUCUCCUCCUCCCCUGCUCUCCACUGCACCGCCUCCUCCUCCCCUUCACUUUUCUCUCCCGUGGCGGCGACAACCUACAGGCAAAAGGCGACGGCAAUGUCGCUCAAUUUGAUCUGCAGGAGAGAGAAGGAAGGAGAGGAGGGAGAAAGGAAGAGGAAAGAGAAAAGGGAGGUGCAGCGACGGAUGGGUGAGGGUCACCGGAAGGAGCGCCGCCGGCUCGUCGCCUUUCACACCGAGGUGGAGCAAAUAUGCCUCUGUACAGCCCUCAUGCUAGCAGGGUCCUUGCAAGAAGUGGAAGGUAGAGGUCGUACGCCAGCCGGAGCAGCAGGAGCAAGUAUCUGGCGCCAUCUGCCUCCCCGUUGCACAACACCACUGCAUCUCCUUCCUGUUUUAUUUUUAGUUUUUACAUGUUCAGAUAUAGGUUGGCUUGAUCUCUUGUGUCAGGGAGGUGCGAGGUUAGGCAUUUAGGCAAUGGCAGCCAUAGUUUCAGUGAAGGAUGUCCAUGCCAUGUGCAAUGAAGGAUAGGCCAUCAGCACAACCGUCCUUUGGGUCCUGAUGAAAGUCACUGUCGGUGGCAGGGAAUUCGUCGCCGGAUGCGUCCUAUAUGUGAUGGGUGUGUUCCAUCCAGUCGUUGGUGGGGUUGAUGUGCCCGUCGAUUUGGCGAUCCGCGGGCCAAGCUCAUCUUCUCAGUGGCGGACUGAUGUUCUAUGGUAGUGGCAGUCAUUGUAUGUGGUGGUGCGGUUGCUGAUGUACAGGAGGCGUCCAUGGUGUUAGUUAUCCAUCGUCCAUGCUUAUCUUCUGUAUGCUCUAGCAGCCAGGUGGCUCAAGAAAUAGAAGACGACUCAUGUUCAGCUGGUCCCUCAUCGCCGGGAGGACGGGCGAGGAGGUCGAGGCCCACUGGGGUUCAUGAGGAGGUGUACGGGCGGCAAUCACUACAGCCAUCAUGUGCUACUGCAGGCUUUCCUAGCCUCGUCACAUGAUCAACACGGCGAGCAUCGGCAAAGGGCAGUGCCAAACCAAGUACGCGAGGAUUAAACAUGGCGACGACGACUGUGCAUCAUGGGACGCCUACAGCAUGUGCCUUGCUGAAGUAAACAUGGAGCUCACCCUCUCUACGCCGUGCAUCACAUCUACUUAAUUUGGAGGGUUACACCAGGUGUUUAUAUACUUCGGUCGAUGGUUUCUGUGCCUUGAGGAACAAUCCUAUUAUUGUACUAUGCGUACUGACUAUAUAUGUAUGACGCAUAAAUCCUCACAAGUUGGAACCCAUCACUGCUCCUGCUCGACCGUGACUCCACGCGCAAGGUCCGCCUAGCCACGCGUAGGUCACGCCGCCGGCUGUCGAGCCUCCUGUUCCACCCUGCAGUGUGUUCGAACAGCCGAAGCUGAGUAUGCGAAGAUUCAUCCCUGGCCCAUCCUUGUUCAACGCAUGGAAGCAAUGACUGCUGCUGGCUUUGAAGCUGGUUGAGGUUGCUGCUUGCCGUUGGUUGUAGGUAGAGGCCUUGCGGUGGUCCAAGAUUCUUACAUAGUGUUGUGCCUGGUUUCUUCUUGAAGGAUUUGUUGCGAAAGCUGGGAAUGUUACGAGGAAUCUGCUUUGAGAGGUGUCGUAGUCUCAGAGGAAACGAUUUCUUCUAGGCCAGUGGUGUUCCUUUGCGCUAUAGCCAGUGCGCUAUCUCCUAGGUUAUCUCAUAUAAAGCCAUGAACCUAGCAUGAACUCGAAAUAUAAACCAUUGUAUAUGAAGAUGCUAUCUGAGUACGUAUUUGCAUGUUCGUAGAUCUACUACAGAUGCUUUAUUAUGUAUAAAUAUGCCAUAACCUAUCAUGGAGGAGGUUGACAUCACAGACAAGUUCAUGCUUGAGCUCACUUUCAUUAAGCUGCAGCUCGCGUAACCACUAUUUUUACUACUGCAAAGUUGGACAGAGGUUUGCAGUAACAAUCAAGCUCCGUCCCAGCACGCGGCAUCAACAACAUGAUGUUGAAGCAAUGGCACUAUCCGGAUAUUCAUCUAAUUCCAUCGGUUACCGCAACAACCACCUUUUGUUUCAUAUCUAUCAGACCAGCAUCUUUCCCAUUUUGGACUACUACCAGCAAGAUAUGUAUAGACUUUAGUCCUCCCUUGCAGCCUCUAUGGUGAAAAGUAGUCUAUGAUGUAGUUUACAAUCUUUAGAUUUUAUUGUUGUCUAUAUAGUCAAGAGCGGUUUACCAUCGCUUAUUGUAUAUAUGUGAAGGUCUCCUCUUCUACUGUUGUUUCACAACACUAUGACCGAAGAAAACAACCUUUCCUUUUAUCCAUGCUUUCAUACUAA
Long non-coding RNA from Triticum aestivum (bread wheat), 2426 nucleotides. RefSeq lists it as uncharacterized. The transcript is spliced from 11 exons. The record is from RefSeq and is a predicted model, not a curated record. Lineage: Eukaryota; Viridiplantae; Streptophyta; Magnoliopsida; Poales; Poaceae.